UUAAUCAAAGCCAAAAAGAGGCAUGUUGCUGUUAACAACAAAAUUAAACUUAAGUUUUGAUUAAA
Molecule: transfer RNA, 65 nt
Filed under: Colpocephalum eucarenum
Lineage: Eukaryota; Metazoa; Arthropoda; Insecta; Psocodea; Menoponidae
Description: tRNA-Asn
Source: RNAcentral